This 458-nucleotide ribosomal RNA is filed under the name uncultured bacterium. Its description in RNAcentral is "bacterial SSU rRNA". It matches the Rfam family "Bacterial small subunit ribosomal RNA", at positions 29 to 532 of the family's 1533-position model. The record is from RNAcentral.
AACGAACGCUGGCGGCAGGCCUAACACAUGCAAGUCGAACGCCCUAGCAAUAGGGAGUGGCAGACGGGUGAGUAACACGUGGGAACCUUCCCUAUAGUACGGAAUAGCUCAGGGGAAACUUGAAGUAAUACCGUAUACGCCCGAGAGGGGAAGAUUUAUCGCUAUAGGAUGGGCCCGCGUCGGAUUAGCUAGUUGGUGAGGUAAUGGCUCACCAAGGCGACGAUCCGUAGCUGGUUUGAGAGAACGACCAGCCACACUGGGACUGAGACACGGCCCAGACUCCUACGGGAGGCAGCAGUGGGGAAUAUUGGACAAUGGGCGCAAGCCUGAUCCAGCCAUGCCGCGUGAGUGAUGAAGGCCUUAGGGUUGUAAAGCUCUUUUAGCAGGGAAGAUAAUGACUGUACCUGCAGAAUAAGCUCCGGCUAACUUCGUGCCAGCAGCCGCGGUAAGAGUCACGU